Molecule: non-coding RNA, 28 nt
Filed under: Mus musculus (house mouse)
Lineage: Eukaryota; Metazoa; Chordata; Mammalia; Rodentia; Muridae
Source: RNAcentral
UGAGAGAACCUGGCUGCCAGGUCAGCUG